CCCCUAUAUACAUUCUACUUUUCAUAACUUAGACCAGGAACAUAUUAAUCUCUGGAACAAUCUCUGCCUAUGUACUGAUCUACAUUAGCUCACAUAGUAAAAUAACAGGAAUGAGAAAUAUAAACAACUAGUCUGAUACAAAUGUCCGAUGUAUAUUUCAUAUAAAACUAAACUGGAAUCUGAAUGUCCUAUAUACAGUAUGCAUAAACUUGCUGCAUACUCGAAGCCGGCAACAAUAUUCAGAUUGAGACAUGAGUGACCAUGUGAUCUUCGAGAUCUCUUGGAACAUCAAACACAACAUCGCAAACACAGCAAACAUAUCCAACACCAGUUGGUUCUGUUGCUUCAAGUUCUUGACAUAAACCACAUUGAUAGUUCCCAUCAUUGCCAUGGUAUCUUGCUAUAUGUUGAACCAAUGUCAUACAAUUAGAAAACCGCCUGUUACAUUUGUUACAAGCGUACUUUCCAGUGUUUUUAUCCUGAACAAAAUGUUCUUGCAAAUUUUGUGGUUCAAUAAUCUCCAUGUGGCAACUAUUGCAAAACAAAUGCGCCUUUUUGUGCCAAUUAAGACUGUUUAAUUGUAUAAAUCUCUUCUUGCAAACGUCAUAUUCAUAAGGCUUUUCUCCAGUGUGUGUUCUUUUAUGUGAUGCUAAAUUAGAUGAAUGUCUAAAACUCUUCUUGCAAACUUCACAUUCAUAAGGCUUGUCUCCAGUGUGUGUUCUUUUAUGUGAUGCUAAAUGACCUGAAUGGUUAAAUCUCUUCUUACAAACAUCACAUAGAUAAGGUUUGUCUCCAGUAUGUCUUUUUUUAUGGUAUACCAAGCUGUUCGAAUAUGUAAACUUCAUCUUACAAACAUCACAUUCAUAAGGCUUAUCUUCAGUGUGUGUUCGUCUAUGUGAUGCUAAAUUACCUGAAUGUUUAAAUCUCUUCUUGCCAACUUUAUAUUCAUAAGGCUUGUCUCCAGUGUGUGUUCUGUUAUGCACAGCUAAAUGAUCUGAUCUCUUAUAUCUUCUCUUCUCACAAAGAUCACAUUCAAAAGGUUUCUUUUCAUUUCGUGUUCCUCCUUGAUUCACCGAGCUGCCUGAUGUUAAAAAUCUCUGCUCAGAAUGAUCAGACAUUUUUAUUAAUGAAUUAUAAUCAAAACUAUAUCCAACUAUAUGUCUAUAUCCGACCCAAAAUCAAUGAAAUUAUAAUAGUAUAAACAUUCGAAUCAAAAUGAACUGAAUUUUAUUUUUAUUUCGG
This is a non-coding RNA of Paramuricea clavata, 1242 nucleotides long. The record is from the annotation of a GenBank genome assembly. NCBI's taxonomy places the organism in Eukaryota, Metazoa, Cnidaria, Anthozoa, Malacalcyonacea, Plexauridae.